This 650-nucleotide long non-coding RNA is filed under the name Citrus x clementina. RNAcentral's name for it is "Citrus clementina (C. clementina) long non-coding RNA (CCLE_LNC005622)". Lineage: Eukaryota; Viridiplantae; Streptophyta; Magnoliopsida; Sapindales; Rutaceae. The record is from RNAcentral.
CCAUAAAACCUCAAACCCGUGAAGGAUUUUAACAUCCCUACUCUAAGAUAGAGCAUACCUUCAUAACUACACGAUUAAAAACAUAACAUAUAUUUUUUUAUUAUUUAUCACUUUGCGUGUGUGACUGUGAUUCGUGCUCUACUUUAGAGCAGCUCAAAGAUAGCCAUUGCCUUAUUCACAAAUCAUACACAACAUAUAGAUGCGGGCAGGGGCUUGUUACACUUGUAGUCUUGGAAGUUCAUUAUCAUUUUGAUUUUUAUCCCUUGCAAAUUGCUUUACUUCCAUGUCUGCUAAUUAGGUAAUUAAUGCACAUUAACUGGUUUUGAUAAUUAGUCCUGAAAAAUUAUUAAAAUGUACAUCCUCCUUAACACGAGAGAUUUAAUUCUUAAUUAAUACUUUUCCUAGAUUUAUUCUCUAAUAAUAAUAGUUGAUUGGCGUAAAGUUAGUCUAAGAAUUAAGAUAACAAUUAUGUACUUUAUCGGUUCACUUAAUAUUUUUUAUACAAUUUGAUCUCUAUUUGAAAUUUAAACUUAAAACUAUGUAUUAAAGAAAAAUUUUAACGAAACUAUCUUUCACUUGAAAAAAAGUUCACUCCACGUAUUUAACAUAACUUAAAGUUUAUACUUUAUAUUUUAUUCCGAGCUCAUUGU